ACUUUAUGUCGCACAUUAUUAAUCUUAGGAUAGAUAAAAGACGCAACUUUCCAGAGUCCUGAAACAGUUGGCAAGUGUUAGUCAGAACAGUAACAAAUCAUUUGAGAAGAUGAAAUCCCUUAGCGUUGUGCUGUUUGUUGGCGUUUGCGUGUUGGCAGCGAUUUGUUCCUGCAACGGAAGCCCCCAAGAUGUGAACGAAGCCACGGUUGAAUUGCAAAACACUUUCCAGUCCGCUGGUUUGCCGAUUCGUAUCAAGAGACAAUCUUGUGACCUACGUAGUUGCGAUAUCGUCUGCCGCCAAUCGAACCGAGGAUGGCCUCGAUGUGUUAACGGAAGAUGUACUUGUACGAGAUCAAACCCUAAUUAAAAAAUGAAAACAUUAUCAAGAAUUUCCUUUUUUGGAAAAUAAAAAUCCUGUUGCUGUUUUUUAAA
Molecule: long non-coding RNA, 432 nt
Organism: Uranotaenia lowii
Lineage: Eukaryota; Metazoa; Arthropoda; Insecta; Diptera; Culicidae
Exons: 2
Source: RefSeq, a predicted model, not a curated record